CUCCCUCAAAGAUGAUGAGCAGGGCAUACCGAUCUUCCUCAUGUUGAUAUGCCCAUGGCAUCGUCCUCCCUCAAAGAUGAUGAGCAGCAUUUCCUGAAAAUGGUGCUGAAGGGGAAAAUCCUCAAAGGAAACAAAAAUCUCCAUGAUGUCCCACAGAGAUUGGAGCAGUGAGGAGACAUUUCUGUGGGCACAUUGCUAAUGGGAGACUAUCCAUUGUGAUUAAAAUCAAACAGUGUAAAAAUGCUCAAUGUCCUGUAUGAGACAGUCGCUCUUUUCAAAAUGUAAGCGACUUUGUCAUGAAUCAUGGUUUAAUGCUAAAAAAGAGGAACAGUUGUUAAAUAAUCAGGUUAAAAAAAUCUAUAGACACAUCUGAGACAUAUACAUGUUUGCAAAAGUCAUUUAGUUUGCAGUAGGGCUGGGCCAUAUCAUACCGUUCACGGUAAUACCGGUAUAAUUUUGGGCAACGAUAAGAAAAUGAAAUAUUGCGAUAGAAUAUGGGUAAAACGCGCAUGCGCAGUACCUUUGUUUUCAUACGCACAUGGCGGAUAAAGCAUGGCGGAGAAUGAGAAGGGCAAAAGCGGAUCGGCAGUGCCCUUUAUAAUCCCGCGGGCCUUAUGUAUGAAUUCUGGUUGUGUUUACUGACCUUGAAACGAUUUUAUGUGGUACACGGUGCUCAAAAAUCUGUCAAAUGUUUUAGCACAACUUUGCUAAGCUAC
Long non-coding RNA from Oreochromis aureus, 716 nucleotides. RefSeq lists it as uncharacterized. Lineage: Eukaryota; Metazoa; Chordata; Actinopteri; Cichliformes; Cichlidae. The record is from RefSeq and is a predicted model, not a curated record. The transcript has 3 exons.